This 710-nucleotide ribosomal RNA is filed under the name Pseudomonas sp. RNAcentral's name for it is "bacterial SSU rRNA". It matches the Rfam family "Bacterial small subunit ribosomal RNA", at positions 55 to 764 of the family's 1533-position model. The record is from RNAcentral. Lineage: Bacteria; Pseudomonadati; Pseudomonadota; Gammaproteobacteria; Pseudomonadales; Pseudomonadaceae.
AUGCAGUCGAGCGGAUGAGAGAGCUUGCUCUCUGAUUCAGCGGCGGACGGGUGAGUAAUGCCUAGGAAUCUGCCUGGUAGUGGGGGACAACGUUUCGAAAGGAACGCUAAUACCGCAUACGUCCUACGGGAGAAAGCAGGGGACCUUCGGGCCUUGCGCUAUCAGAUGAGCCUAGGUCGGAUUAGCUAGUUGGUGAGGUAAUGGCUCACCAAGGCGACGAUCCGUAACUGGUCUGAGAGGAUGAUCAGUCACACUGGAACUGAGACACGGUCCAGACUCCUACGGGAGGCAGCAGUGGGGAAUAUUGGACAAUGGGCGAAAGCCUGAUCCAGCCAUGCCGCGUGUGUGAAGAAGGUCUUCGGAUUGUAAAGCACUUUAAGUUGGGAGGAAGGGUUGUAGAUUAAUACUCUGCAAUUUUGACGUUACCGACAGAAUAAGCACCGGCUAACUCUGUGCCAGCAGCCGCGGUAAUACAGAGGGUGCAAGCGUUAAUCGGAAUUACUGGGCGUAAAGCGCGCGUAGGUGGUUCGUUAAGUUGGAUGUGAAAGCCCCGGGCUCAACCUGGGAACUGCAUUCAAAACUGACGAGCUAGAGUAUGGUAGAGGGUGGUGGAAUUUCCUGUGUAGCGGUGAAAUGCGUAGAUAUAGGAAGGAACACCAGUGGCGAAGCGACCACCUGGACUGAUACUGACACUGAGUGCGAAAGCGUGG